AUCCAUCUGACGAGUUCCAAAUAGGAUGAAACGCGCGUUGUGAAU
Molecule: non-coding RNA, 45 nt
Organism: Schistosoma rodhaini
Lineage: Eukaryota; Metazoa; Platyhelminthes; Trematoda; Strigeidida; Schistosomatidae
Source: Rfam